GACGAACGUUGGCGGCGUGCUUAAUACAUGCCAGUCAACUGAAGCAGUGGUAGCAAUAUCGCUGUGGAGGUGGCGCACGGGUGAGUAACACGUAGGUAAUCUGCCUUCAGGUCUGGCAUAACUCCGGGAAACCGGGGCUAAUAGCAGAUGAUGCAGCGGCUCGACAUCGAGACAGUUGUUAAAGCUAUGGCGCCUGAAGAUGAGCCUGCGUCUGAUUAGCUAGUUGGCGGGGUAACGGCCCACCAAGGCAACGAUCAGUAGCUGGUCUGAGAGGAUGAUCAGCCACACUGGAACUGAGACACGGUCCAGACUCCUACGGGAGGCAGCAGUAAGGAAUAUUGCUCAAGGGGAGAAAUCCUGAAGCAGCAACGCCGCGUGAGGGACGAAGGGCUUGUGCUUGUAAACCUCUGUAGUGAGAGAAAAAAAUCCCAAUCUUUGGGACAUGAUGGUAUCUCAAAAGUAAGCCCCGGCUAACUACGUG
This 481-nucleotide ribosomal RNA is filed under the name uncultured bacterium. Its description in RNAcentral is "partial 16S ribosomal RNA". It matches the Rfam family "Bacterial small subunit ribosomal RNA", at positions 28 to 507 of the family's 1533-position model. The record is from RNAcentral.